This 376-nucleotide long non-coding RNA is filed under the name Carica papaya (papaya). RNAcentral's name for it is "long non-coding RNA (CPAP_LNC007099)". The record is from RNAcentral. Lineage: Eukaryota; Viridiplantae; Streptophyta; Magnoliopsida; Brassicales; Caricaceae.
GAAGAUUGAAGUCGUAGCAUUUUUCUCGCUUUCGCCGUUGGUCAGCGCGUGUUCGACCAGGACUUGCCGGAGCUUUUGCAUCAACGGGUAGGUAGCACUGCAGGGAUCAUCAAUGUAGGCAAAGACAAAUUCGCGAUCGACAACUUUGAGUAAAUCUUUCUCGCUGAACCUUGAAGGGUGGAGUUCUCCAUUAACCCCUGUUGUUAGCACCUUUUUAGCCACCUGGUUCACUGUGUUCUUCACGGUUUGUCUCAGGUUCUCUUCCAAAUGCCUCAGGUCAAUUGCUUGGCAAAGUGCCACUAGAUACGUGGAGGACAUGAGUUUCAAGAUAUCAACGGCUUCAGCUGUUUUCCUCGAAGAGAUCAAGCCCAACGAG